Molecule: ribosomal RNA, 117 nt
Filed under: Candidatus Woesearchaeota archaeon
Lineage: Archaea; Nanobdellati; Candidatus Woesearchaeota
Source: RNAcentral
UAGGACGAUCAUAGUGGAUUGGUCACACCCGAACUCAUUUCGAACUCGGAAGUUAAGCAAUCUUACGUUCCUGAUUGUACUGCAUUGUUGUGCGGGAACUCAGGAAAGUUGUCCUUU